AGGGAAACUAACAGGCACCUUCAAUGCUGGCCAGCACAGGUGGAGCAAGCUGAUGCUGUAAGGAUGGUGAAAAGAGAGGAAGGAUUGGGCAAUGAAAGGUUUUCAACCAGUGUGAUGUCCUUGGAAAUAAACUGACAGAAGCAGACCAAAUCAUCAUGGCCUCCAUUGCCACCAUGUAGGGGGUGACCCAAAACAUUUGGAUGCCUGAAAUGAAACAUACAAACAGCAGGAUUCCCCUCUCAAAUGAACCACUAAGAAGGUACCUUGCUCAAGCCCUACUGAAGCUGCUCCUUCGAGCUCCUGCCCCACCCCCACCCCCCGCAACGGAAAUGAUCCCUAUAUCUUGCACAACACCCAUUCACCUCAAUGGGACUUGGCAAAGGAGACCCUUCCAGCAGCUUAUUUUAUUUAUUUACUUAUUUAUUCAAUUUCUCUACCGACCUUCCAUAAAUGGCUCAGUGCAGUUUAUACAGAGAAAUAAUAAAUAAAUAA
Hemicordylus capensis (graceful crag lizard) is the source of this 492-nucleotide long non-coding RNA. RefSeq lists it as uncharacterized. The transcript is spliced from 3 exons. The record is from RefSeq and is a predicted model, not a curated record. NCBI's taxonomy places the organism in Eukaryota, Metazoa, Chordata, Lepidosauria, Squamata, Cordylidae.